Molecule: long non-coding RNA, 2748 nt
Organism: Piliocolobus tephrosceles (Ugandan red Colobus)
Lineage: Eukaryota; Metazoa; Chordata; Mammalia; Primates; Cercopithecidae
Exons: 2
Source: RefSeq, a predicted model, not a curated record
UUAAUUUCAGACAGAGUCGGCUUUACAUCAAGGAAAGUGACCAAAGAUGAUUAUUAUGUAAUAAAGGGGUCAAUUCUCCAAGAAGAUGGAACAAUCCUGAAAUGUAUUUUUGCUAACAAAGCAUCAGAAUGCCAAAGCAAAAACUGAUACACUUCAAGGAGAAGCAAUUAACCCACUAGUAUAGUUGGAGACAUUAACACCCCUUUAUCAGAAAUGGACCAAUUCAGUAGUCAGAAAAUCAGUAAGGACACAAUUGAAAUCGGCAUCGUCAGUCAACUGUAUAUAACUGACGUUUAUAGACUAUUUGCUAUGUUGGGAGUCAUGUCAUACUCCAUCCCACUAGAUAUUAGGGUCAGUGUCACAGCGUGCGUGUACACCUACUACGAUUUUAAAACUAGUAUCAUGCUCUCCGUCACUGGAUAUUAGGAACGACAUCACAGAUUUGUUCCUGAUAUCCGGCGGGGAGAGGAUGAUAUUACUCCCAACAUUGAAGAAAGUGUACACCCCUCUAUGAUGUUAUUCCUAAUAGCCAGGGGGUAGAGGAUAACAUUAUUGAACCUGUCGCAGUGAGUGUACAUCCCCUCGGUUGUCUUGUUUCUUAUAUCCUGGGUGGGAGAGGUUGAUAUGACUCCCAAUGUUGCAGGGCGUGUAGACCUCCCCCGUGAUACUGUCCCUAACAUCUAAAGGUCGAGCGGAUGAUAUUUCUUCCGAUUUCGCAGUGGGUGUACAUCCCCUCUGUGAUAUGAUUGCUACUAUCCAGAGGGCGAGAGGAUGAUAUCAGUCUCAAUAUUGCAGGAGGUGUACACUCCCUAGUGAUAUUGUUCCUAAUAUCCAGGAACGGAGAGGAUGUUGCCCCCAAUAGAGCAGGGGGUGUACACCCCUUCUGUGCCAUUGUUCCUAAUAGCCAGCGGGGGAGAGGAACAUAUUACUCCCAAUAUUGCAGGGGGUGUAUACCUCCUUGUGACAUUGUUUCCUAUGUCCUGGGAGGGAGGCGAUGAUACCAGUGGCAAUAUCGCAGGGGGUGUACACACCCACUGUGAUAUUGUUCUGAAUAUCCAGAGGGAGAGAAAAUGAUAUGACUCCCAAUAUCACAGGGGGUGUACAUCCUCCUGUUAUAUUGUUUCUUAUAUUCAGGGGGAGAGGAUGCUAUGACUCCCAAUAUCACAGGGGUUGUGCACACCUCCUGCGAUAUUGUUCCUAAGAUCCCGAAGGAGAGAGCAUAAUAUUUCUCUCAAUAUCGUAGGGGGUGUACCCCUACUUUGUAAUAUUGUUCUUAAUAUCCACGAUGGGAGACGAUGAUAUGACUCCCAAUAUCGCAAGAAGCGUACAGCCACCUCUGAUAUAGUUCCUAACAUCUAGGUGGGGAGAGGAUGACAUUACUGCCCAUAUCGCACGAGUUGUAAAACCCCUUUGAUAUUUUGCCUACAAUCCUGAGGGGAGAGGAGGAUAUUGCUCCCAAUGUCGAAGAAGGCGUACACCCCCCUGUGACUCUAUGCCCAAUAUCCACGUUGGGAGAUGAUGAUAUUACACCCAAUAUCGCAGGGGAUGUACAGACACACUGGGAUAUUGUUCCUUAUAUCGAGAGGGGGAGAAGAUGCUAUUGCUCCCAAUAACGCAGUGACUGUGGCUGUACACCCCUCCUGUGAUACAGUUCUUAAUAUCCUAGAAAAGAGGAUGAUACUACACCCAAAAUCGCAGGGGAUGUACACCCACCCAGUGAUACUGUUCUUAAUGUACUCCACUUCCCACGACCAGGGAUAUCGCUCCUAAUAUCCAGGGGCAGAAAGGGUAACAUUAUGCCCAAUACUGCGGGGCAGUGUUCACACCCUCUGUGAUGUUGUUCCUAGUAUCCAAAGUUAGAGACGAUGAUAUUACUGGCCAUAUCGCAGGGGGUGUACACCCUUCUGUGAUACUGUUUUUGACAUUCUGUGGGGGAGACGAUAACAUGAAUCCCAAUAUCGCUGAAGGUGUACAGGGGUGGACACCUCUUCAGUGAUAUGGUUCCUCUUAUCCAGGGGGUGAACGGAUGAUAUUACUCCCAAUACAGCCACCCUGGGAUUUUGUCCUUAAUAACCACAGGGGAGAAAUGAUAUUACUACCAAUAUUGCAAGGGGUGUACACCCCUCCUGUGAUAUUGUUUCUUCUAUCCAGGAAAGGAGAAGAUGGUCUUAGUACCAAUAUUGAAGGGAUGGACAGCCCCCAUGGGAUAUUGUUCUAAAGAUACAAGUUGAAAGAAGAUGAGAUUCCAUCCAAUAUAACAAGGGGUGUACACCCCGCCUGUGAUAGGAAUCUUAAAACCUAGAAGAAGAGAGAAUGACAUUGCUUCCAAAAACACAAGGGUUGUACACCCACCCUGUAAUAUUGUUGCUGUCAUCUAAAGGAAGAGAUGAAGAUACUACUCCCACUACCGGAGAAGGAACACACCUGCCUGUGAUAUUAUUCCUCAUAGCUUGUGGGGGAGAGCAUGAUAUUACUUCCAAAAUGACAGUGGCUUGACACCCAGUCUGUGAUAUUGGUUCUGCACACCAACUCUGUGCCCCUCAUUUCCCAUGCGUUCUCUCCUCACUUUUGGAACCUCAGGGGAGGCUUUGCCUUUGGUUACAGAUGAAGAGACGAAGGGUCUGAGAGGUUAAGCAAGUUUGUUACUGGAAAGGGGUCCCGAUCCAAACCCCAAGAGAGGUUUCUUGGAUCUAACAGAAGAAAGAAUUCGGGGCAAGUCCAUAAACUGAGAACGAGUUUAUUAGGAAA